UAGGGAAUCUUCGGCAAUGGACGAAAGUCUGACCGAGCAACUCCGCGUGAGUGAAGAAGGUUUUCUGAUCGUAAAACUCUGUUGUUAGAGAAGAACAAGGACGUUAGUAACUGAACGUCCCCUGACGGUAUCUAACCAGAAAGCCACGGCUAACUACCUGCCAGCAGCCGCGGUAAUACGUAGGUGGCAAGCGUUGUCCGGAUUUAUUGGGCGUAAAGCGAGCGCAGGCGGUUUCUUAAGUCUGAUGUGAAAGCGCCCGGCUAAACAGGGGAGGGUCAUUGGAAACUGGGAGAAUGGGGUGCAGAAGAGGAGAGUGGAAUUCCAUGUGUAGAGGUGAAAUGCGUAGAUAUAGGGAGGAAAAAGAGUGGCGAAGGCGGCUCUCUGGUCUGUAACUGACGCGGAGGCUAGAAAGCGGGGGGAGCAAACAGG
RNAcentral lists this ribosomal RNA (429 nucleotides) under Gemmatimonadota bacterium. RNAcentral describes it as "Gemmatimonadetes bacterium partial 16S ribosomal RNA". It matches the Rfam family "Bacterial small subunit ribosomal RNA", at positions 355 to 776 of the family's 1533-position model. The record is from RNAcentral. Lineage: Bacteria; Pseudomonadati; Gemmatimonadota.